AAACUUUACACUACGCGCAAGCGUGAUAAGGGGAUCCUGAGUGCUUAUGCGAUUUAGCAUAGGCUUUUGUCAAGAGUAAAUUCCUUGGCGAAUAAGUGGUGGGCAAGACUGGUGCCAGCCGCCGCGGUAAUACCAGCAGCCCAAGUGGUGGUCGCGUUUAUUGGGCCUAAAGCGCUCGUAGCCGGGCUUGCAAGUCCCUUGUGAAAUCGGACGGCUCAACCGUUCGGCGUGCAAGGGAUACUGCUGGCCUUGGGAUCGGGAGAGGUCGGGGGUACUUCGGGGGUAGCGGUGAAA
Molecule: ribosomal RNA, 294 nt
Filed under: uncultured archaeon
Lineage: Archaea
Description: partial 16S ribosomal RNA
Rfam family: Archaeal small subunit ribosomal RNA
Source: RNAcentral